GGGGAAUAUUGCACAAUGGAGGAAACUCUGAUGCAGCGACGCCGCGUGAGUGAAGAAGUAAUUCGUUAUGUAAAGCUCUAUCAGCAGGGAAGAUAGUGACGGUACCUGACUAAAAAGCUCCGGCUAAAUACGUGCCAGUAGCCGCGGUAAUACGUAUGGAGCAAGCGUUAUCCGGAUUUACUGGGUGUAAAGGGAGUGUAGGUGGCCAUGCAAGUCAGAAGUGAAAAUCCGGGGCUCAACCCCGGAACUGCUUUUGAAACUGUAAGGCUAGAGUGCAGGAGGGGUGAGUGGAAUUCCUAGUGUAGCGGUGAAAUGCGUAGAUAUUAGGAGGAACACCAGUGGCGAAGGCGGCUCACUGGACUGUAACUGACACUGAGGCUCGAAAGCGUGGGGAGCAAAC
RNAcentral lists this ribosomal RNA (400 nucleotides) under uncultured bacterium. RNAcentral describes it as "bacterial SSU rRNA". It matches the Rfam family "Bacterial small subunit ribosomal RNA", at positions 356 to 773 of the family's 1533-position model. The record is from RNAcentral.